CUUGUCUCUACAGACAGGGGGCGUUCUCUCCUUGUCUCUACAGACAGGGGGCGUUCUCUCCUUGUCUCUACAGACAGGGCGCGUUCUCUCCUUGUCUCUACAGACAGGGGGCGUUCUCUCCUUGUCUCUACAGACAGGGGCGUUCUCUCUCUCUAGCUGGCUAAGGUAGCAGCCUGGGGUAACUGGCUGAGGUAGCAGCCUCGGGUAACUGGAUGAGGUAGCAGCCUGGGGUAACUGGCUGAGGUAGCAGCCUGGGGUAACUGGCUGAGGUAGCAGCCUGGGGUAACUGGCUGAGGUAGCAGCCUGGGGUAGCUGGCUGAGGUAGCAGCCUGGGGUAACUGGCUGAGGUAGCAGCCUGGGGUAACUGGCUGAGGUAGCAGCCUGGGGUAACUGGCUGAGGUAGCAGCCUGGGGUAACUGGCUGAGGUAGCAGCCUGGGGUAGCUGGCUGAGGUAGCAGCCUGGGGUAACUGGCUGAGGUAGCAGCCUGGGGUAACUGGCUGAGGUAGCAGCCUGGGGUAACUGGCUAAGGUAGCAGCCUGGGGUAACUGGCUAAGGUAGCAGCCUGGGGUAGCUGGCUAAGGUAGCAGCCUGGGGUAGCUGGCUGAGGUAGCAGCCUGGGGUAGCUGGCUGAGGACGUGGAGGACUAACCAGCAUCCACACACACAGAGAGAGACAGACAGACAGACAGACAGACAGACAGACAGACAGACAGACAGACAGACAGACAGACAGACAGACAGACAGACAGACAGACAGACAGACAGACAGACAGACAGACAGACAGACAGAUGUAAUCAGUAACACACCACAGACAGAGAGACAGACAGACAGACAUACAGACAGGUGUAAG
Oncorhynchus tshawytscha (Chinook salmon) is the source of this 851-nucleotide long non-coding RNA. The record is from Ensembl. Lineage: Eukaryota; Metazoa; Chordata; Actinopteri; Salmoniformes; Salmonidae.